GUGAGGAAUAUUGCGCAAUGGAGGCAACUCUGACGCAGCCAUGCCGCGUGCAGGAAGAAGGCGCUACGCGUUGUAAACUGCUUUUAACCGGGAAGAAACCCCAGGACGUGUCCUGGGUUGACGGUACCGGAGGAAUAAGCACCGGCUAACUUCGUGCCAGCAGCCGCGGUAAUACGAAGGGUGCAAGCGUAAUCCGGAUUCAUUGGGUUUAAAGGGUGCGUAGGCGUAGCGUUAAGUCAGUGGUGAAAUCCUGCAGCUUAACUGUAGACUUGCCAUUGAUACUGGCGCUCUUGAGUGCGCUUGAAGUGGGCGGAAUGUGCCGUGUAGCGGUGAAAUGCUUAGAUAUGGCACAGAACACCAAUUGCGAAGGCAGCUCACUAAGGCGAUACUGACGCUGAGGCACGAAAGCGUGGGGAUCGAACAGGAUUAGAAACCCUAGUAGUCC
This 445-nucleotide ribosomal RNA is filed under the name uncultured bacterium. Its description in RNAcentral is "partial 16S ribosomal RNA". It matches the Rfam family "Bacterial small subunit ribosomal RNA", at positions 354 to 796 of the family's 1533-position model. The record is from RNAcentral.